GUCCGGUCGAUCCACUGGCUGCUCCCCACCGGGGUCCUCCAGAGAUGGUGUUGAUGAUCUCGAUUGGAGGCCGAUCUUUAGGCUGUUCUUCCCUCCUUGAUGGCUCUGGUGGUGGUAGGGCCCUCGACCGAUCUUUCCUACCUUCAGACCGGUGUCAGAUGAAUCUGUUGAGCUGACCUCGUCUGAUGAGCUCCUCGAUCUCAUCUCGAAGCUGAAUAUACUUCUCCGUGUCAUGGUCGUGAUCGUGAUGAUAGAGGCAGAACUUGUUAGGGUUGCACUUUUCAGGGUGUGUGUGCAUCCUUUCCAAAAUUGACAGCUACUCCCUGAUCUCCAUCAGCACUUGAAUUUUUGGAGCAUUGAGAGGGGCAUAGCUGUGGAAUCUUCCUGGG
This 389-nucleotide long non-coding RNA is filed under the name Elaeis guineensis (African oil palm). RNAcentral describes it as "long non-coding RNA (EGUI_LNC081828)". Lineage: Eukaryota; Viridiplantae; Streptophyta; Magnoliopsida; Arecales; Arecaceae. The record is from RNAcentral.